Molecule: ribosomal RNA, 253 nt
Filed under: uncultured bacterium
Lineage: Bacteria
Description: partial 16S ribosomal RNA
Rfam family: Bacterial small subunit ribosomal RNA
Source: RNAcentral
UACGAAGGGGGCGAGCGUUGUUCGGAAUUACUGGGCGUAAAGGGCGCGCAGGCGGCUCUGCAAGUCAGAUGUGAAAGCCCCGGGCUUAACCUGGGAAUUGCAUUUGAUACUCUGGAGCUUGAGUACGGGAGAGGAGAGUGGAAUUCCCAGUGUAGAGGUGAAAUGCGCAGAUAUCAGGAGGAACACCGGUGGCGAAGGCGGGUCUCUGGGCCGAUACUGACGCUGAGGAGCGAAAGCGUGGGGAGCGAACAGG